AUCCUGCCAGUAGUCAUAUGCUUGUCUAAAAGAUUAAGCCAUGCAAGUCUAAGUAUAAGCAAUUAUACUGUGAAACUGCAGAAAGCUCAUUAUAUCAGUUAUAGUUUAUUUGAUGGUACCCUUCUACAUGGAUAACUGUAGUAAUUCUAGAGCUAAUACAUGUCGGAAUUCCUGACUCGCAAGGGAAAGGAUGGACUUAUUAGAUACCCGCCAACCUGGCUUGCCAGUUCUAUGGUGAAUCAUAAUAAUUUCUAGAUCGCAUGCUCUUCGGGGUGGCGAUGGGUCAUUCAAAUUUCUGCCCUAUCAGCUGUGAUGGUAAUGUAGUGGAUUACCAUGGCGUAUACGGGUGACGGAGGAUUGGGGUCCGAUUCCGGAGAGGGAGCCUGAGAAACGGCUACCACUUCUAAGGAAGGCAUCAGGCGCGUAAAUUACCCAAUCCCAAUACGGGGAGGUAGUGACAAGAAAUAACAAUACCGGGGUCUUUAAGGCUUUGGUAAUUGGAAUGAGUACAAUGUAAAAUCCUUAACAAGGAUCAAUUGGAGGGCAAGUCUGGUGCCAGCAGCCGCGGUAAUACCAGCUCCAAUAGCGUAUGCUAAAGUUGUUGCAGUUAAAAGGCUCGUAGUCGAACUUUUGGCUUUGUUGCACCCGGACCAUGCCCUUGUGGUGUGUUGCUCUGGUGUGCACAAGUCAUUCUUCUGGAAAGCAUCUCUGCCCUUAAUUGGGUUGGUUUUGUAAUUCAGAUCAUUUACUGUGAGAAAAUCAGAGUGUUCAAAGCAGGCUUUAAUGCUUGUAUGGUUCAGCAUGGAAUAAUAAGAUAAGACUUCGGUUUUAUUUUGUUGGCUAUAAGACCAAAGUAAUGAUUGAAAGGGAUAGUUGGGGGUGCUAGUAUUUAGUGGUCAGCGGUGAAAUGCGGGGACCCAUUAAAGACUAACUUAUGCGAAAGCAUUCACCAAGGAUAUCUUCUUUGAUCAAGAACGAAAGUUGGGGGAUCGAAGACGAUCAGAUACCGUCGU
This 1013-nucleotide ribosomal RNA is filed under the name uncultured soil eukaryote. RNAcentral's name for it is "SSU rRNA". It matches the Rfam family "Eukaryotic small subunit ribosomal RNA", at positions 11 to 1021 of the family's 1831-position model. The record is from RNAcentral.